RNAcentral lists this ribosomal RNA (371 nucleotides) under Dagetichthys lusitanicus (Portuguese sole). RNAcentral's name for it is "Dagetichthys lusitanica (Portuguese sole) partial 12S small subunit ribosomal RNA". It matches the Rfam family "Bacterial small subunit ribosomal RNA", at positions 860 to 1394 of the family's 1533-position model. The record is from RNAcentral. Lineage: Eukaryota; Metazoa; Chordata; Actinopteri; Pleuronectiformes; Soleidae.
UUUACAUCCGCCCGGGUAUUACGAACGAAAGUUUAAAACCCAAAGGACUUGGCGGUGCUUAACACCCACCUAGAGGAGCCUGUUCUAGAACCGAUCAUCCCCGUUCAACCUCACCCUUCCUUGCACCAUAGCAGCCUAUAUACCGCCGUCGUCAGCUUACCCUUUAAAGGCCUACCAAGUAAGCAAAAUCGGUUUUACCCCAGAACGUCAGGUCGAGGUGUAGCUCACGGAAGGGGAAGAAAUGGGCUACAUUCGCUAGCCUUAGCGUAAAACGAAUGGCAUAAUGAAACAAAUGCCUGAAGGAGGAUUUAGAAGUAAGCAGGAAGCAGAGUGUCCUACUGAAUAAGGCUCUUGAGCACGUACACACCGCC